Molecule: ribosomal RNA, 207 nt
Filed under: uncultured delta proteobacterium
Lineage: Bacteria; Deltaproteobacteria
Description: partial 16S ribosomal RNA
Rfam family: Bacterial small subunit ribosomal RNA
Source: RNAcentral
CGUGUAGGCGGCUUCGUAUGUCCGAUGUGAAAGCCCCGGGCUCAACCCGGGAAGUGCAUUGGAAACUGCGAGGCUUGAGUACCGGAGAGGAAGGGGGAAUUCCCGGUGUAGAGGUGAAAUUCGUAGAGAUCGGGAGGAAUAUCAGUGGCGAAGGCGCCCUUCUGGACGGUUACUGACGCUGAGACGCGAAAGCGUGGGGAGCAAACA